RNAcentral lists this ribosomal RNA (466 nucleotides) under uncultured bacterium. RNAcentral describes it as "partial 16S ribosomal RNA". It matches the Rfam family "Bacterial small subunit ribosomal RNA", at positions 28 to 507 of the family's 1533-position model. The record is from RNAcentral.
GAUGAACGCUGGCGGCGUGCUUAACACAUGCAAGUCGAACGAUGAAGCCCAGCUUGCUGGGUGGAUUAGUGGCGAACGGGUGAGUAACACGUGAGUAACCUGCCCUUAACUCUGGGAUAAGCCUGGGAAACUGGGUCUAAUACCGGAUAGGAGCGUCCACCGCAUGGUGGGUGUUGGGAAGAUUUAUCGGUUUUGGAUGGACUCGCGGCCUAUCAGCUUGUUGGUGUGGUAAUGGCUCACCAAGGCGACGACGGGUAGCCGGCCUGAGAGGGUGACCGGCCACACUGGGACUGAGACACGGCCCAGACUCCUACGGGAGGCAGCAGUGGGGAAUAUUGCACAAUGGGCGCAAGCCUGAUGCAGCGACGCCGCGUGAGGGAUGACGGCCUUCGGGUUGUAAACCUCUUUCAGUAGGGAAGAAGCGAAAGUGACGGUACCUGCAGAAGAAGCACCGGCUAACUACGUG